UAACAAUCGUUACCUUGCGCCUCAAGUAACAAAGAGCAAACACAAACGCUAAAACCGCGAGAAGUAAAAUUGCAACAGAGAUAACGAUGAGGAGGAAGACCGUCUUCGUGACUCCUUUAGGCUUCUUUCGAGUCGGUGGUUCAGGAGGUGGUUGAAAGUGAGUGACGUCAUCACCAAUCCCUUGGUAAGAAGACGGUGGGAACCUUAGCAGCCAGCUCGGUAACGGUCCGUGGAGGUUGUUGUUAGACAGAUCAAUCUCUUUCAAACUCGAGAGCCCAUUUAGCUCAUCAGGAACCACACCGGAGAGAGAAUUGUUAGCGAGGUUCAACGACUGUAACCGUUUCAGACCAGAGAGAGAGACAGGAACUGUUCCAUUGAAUCUGUUAUUCGAGAGAUUUAAACUAACGAGCUUCUUCCAUACGGAGAAGUCCAGAGGCAACGGGCCGGAGAAGUCGUUGUCCUCGAGGUAAAGAAAGGCCAAGUCUUUAAGCCCAGCGAGGCCCAUAGGGAAUGGGCCUGAGAGUCUGUUGGACCUGAGGCUGAGGACUCUGAGGGCAGAGAGUCUGCUUAUGGUGUUGGGAGGAAUCUGACCGUUGAGUCCGAUCGCUGGCAAUCUAAGGGCUAUGAUUCGAGAUUCGUUGUGGUUGCAAGUGACUCCUGUCCAGUUUUUGCAGAGGGGAGUGGUCUCGUUCCAGUUGAGAGAGCGUGUUGGGCGCGUGAUGGUUAGAAACUCGAGUAACGCGCGUUUGUCUUGUGAAGGAUCUGCUUUUGCUCCGGAGAUGAUUAGAUACAGAGAGAAGAGAGUCCAUAGAGAAAGCCUCCACGCUUCCAUUGCUGGUUCUUUGUGAAGAUAAUGAUGAUGAUGGGACUAUAAAUGGAGAAAGUUUGGAUGAGAAACUUUAAUUUGAAAUAAAAGGGUACAAAAGGGAGAUUUCUAGAAAACUGGGGAUCAAAAAGUAAAAGGGAAUCUCAAGUAAACAAAGAGUGGGAGACAGAAGAAGAGAGUAGCUUCGGUAAUAACGAAAUGAAAGUCAUGUUUUGUCUUUGUUGUACAUUCAAAAGCUUUUUUUUUAAUUUUAAACUCUUCGAAAUCGAAACCCUAGAAUUUCUGGGAAUUAUACAACAGUGUCAAAAAAAGUAGGACUCUUAACUCUCUAUUAAGGGGUUAAAAUUAUUUAAAAUAAAGAAAUUGAUACCUCCAGAUCUGAACUUUUACGAGUCUUUUUAAUUUAUUUUUUCUAGUCACGCACGCCGUUUCUUCUCGAGAAUCUCGAUCACGUCUUUAACUUGAAGAACACGAACUUGAGAACCACCAUUGAAGCACUGAAGAUGGGCAUUCGGGGUCUCAAUCGGGUUUCGGUUUUUCGGGUUUAUCAAAAUCAGUCCCAUUUGGGUUACAUGAAAAUUCGGUUCGGGACCGGUUCGGGUUCUAUCGGGCUCCGGUCGGGUUUAGUAAAUCUUCAAGGAACCAAUACAACCCGAUGUACUUUCGGGUUCAAGUCCCAAUCGGUUCUUCGGUUUAAAUGUACCUGAUUUAUAUCUGUUUUGUAACCAAAAAGUAACUAAAAUCGGUUCUUCGGUUUUAAAAUACUUGAUUUCUACCUAUUUUGUAACCAAAACAUAAAUAAAAUCGGUUCAAAAAAAAGAGCAUCAAAUAUAAUCAUUCAUAAUCAAGUGAAAGGUAAACAUAGUUAUUGAUCGAAAGAAAACCAAAUAAAUGAAAGCAUGAAACGAAAAUCAUGUUGUCAUGAAAUAAAAAACAUUAUUCAAUGAAAAAUAAAAUUCAAAUAUAAAAACUUCAACUUUCAACCGCCACCUUUAACCAUCAAUCUUCAUAUAAUAGAUAAUUAUUUUAGAUGUUCAAUAUAUUUUGAAUACAUAUUAGGAAUUGAAAUCAUGUUUGGUACAAGUUCUUUUUGAAAAUUUUGAAUGUUUCGAGUUCUAUCGGGUAUCUAUUUAGGUUCGGGUUCGGUUCGGAUAAUACUCAUAACCCGAAAUACCAUAAAACAAGAUCCAUUCGGUUUUUAUGUCGAGUUCGGAUCGGUUCAGAUUCAUUUUAUCGGAUCGGGUUUGGUUCGGAUUUUCGGGUUCGGUUUAUUUGCCCAGUCCUAGUAAGAAGUGAGCCUAACAAUCUUCACUGGCAGCCGAAACAAUAAUGGCUAAUGGGCUAUGAAGCCCAUUAGGAAAAGCUAAUUUAGAUGAGUUUCUGAAACUUGAGAUGUUUCUUUUUCUGUUUUCCUUAAUUCAUUCAUACUGACUUUUGAAAAACCAAGAAUCCCUAGCCAGAAAUGUGUUGAAUUAAACCGGUUCUAACCGAAGAAGAGAGGAUCAACAGAAGAGAGUAUACAAACUUCAUAUAUCAACAGCUUCUUCAUUUUCUGUAGAUUCAUCAAGUUUCACUCGGCGUGGAAGUCUCGGAGGCCUCCUUUUCUGGUUUAGUCUCAAGACUGGCUCGUCGGUUUCCGACACUCUCCAUAAGCCUAACCAAAUCAGACAUCUUCGGUCUCUGGUCAGGUGCUUUGACAACACAGGACAUAGCAAUCUGCAACAUCUCAACCAUCUCUUCCUCUAUGUUCGUAUACCUCAAAAGCUCCACGUCAAAAACCUCCGCAGUCCAUUCCUCUCUCACUACCGAAUGUACCCAUCGAACCAAAUGUAUAAUCUCAUCUCCUGUCCAAAAAUAAAAAAAAUCAUUAAACCGAAGAUAUUAUAAUAGUAUGUUAUUUAUUUUUCUUGUUUGUAACCAUUACCUGCGGUAGUGUGAAUGGGGGAUUUUCCGGUGAGUAGCUCGAGCAAUACAACACCAAAACUAUAAACAUCUGAGAGUUGAGAAGACUUCCUUGUGUCUGUUACUUCCGGCGCACGGUAACCAGCUUGCCUAGAGAUGGGUGGAGCCAAGGCGCUCAUGACAGCUGUUAAACCAAGAUCAGACACGCAUCCGUAACGCUCUGAGUUCAAGAAUAUGUUGGAAGACUUGAUGUUCCCAUGUACGAGCUUUCCAUUGUUCUCUUUGUGGAUCCUAGCGAUCCCUUUAGCCGCACCAAUCGCAAUCUUCAUCCUCGUUUCCCAAUCCAACGGAACCCGGUUCUCUCCUCGGUUACCUGCACCAACUAAACCGGUUACUAAAAUUAAACCGGAAACGAGCCUAACCAAAGCUAAUAACACAUUACCGUGAAGCAAAGAAGCCACACUUCCACUGCUGAAGUAAUCAUAAACCAUAAGCUUCUCGUCUUUAGAGUAAUAAUAAGCCUUAAGCUCCACGACAUUCUCGUGCUUAAUCCCUCCAAUAAUCUCCAUCUGCUGCUCGAAAUCGCGUUUCCCAGCCGCAACGUCUUUAAGCCGUUUCACAGCGACGGAAGUCGCAUCCUCAAGAACCGCUUUGUACGUCGUCCCAAACGUGCCUUUACCAAGAAUCUCAGCGGAAGCUCUCAAGAGAUCCUCGAGAUCGAACGAGUAGCUGCAUCCUUCGAAGAAAGACAACCUGUUGUUAGCCUCCUCCAUCCUCGAAUCAAACUUCUCCGGAGACAUACCUCCUUUCUUCUGCAGCUUAUGGUCCUUAACAAUCGUUACCUUGCGCCUCAAGUAACAAAGAGCAAACACAAACGCUAAAACCGCGAGAAGUAAAAUUGCAACAGAGAUAACGAUGAGGAGGAAGACCGUCUUCGUGACUCCUUUAGGCUUCUUUCGAGUCGGUGGUUCAGGAGGUGGUUGAAAGUGAGUGACGUCAUCACCAAUCCCUUGGUAAGAAGACGGUGGGAACCUUAGCAGCCAGCUCGGUAACGGUCCGUGGAGGUUGUUGUUAGACAGAUCAAUCUCUUUCAAACUCGAGAGCCCAUUUAGCUCAUCAGGAACC
RNAcentral lists this long non-coding RNA (3853 nucleotides) under Brassica napus (rape). Its description in RNAcentral is "long non-coding RNA (BNAP_LNC002387)". The record is from RNAcentral. Lineage: Eukaryota; Viridiplantae; Streptophyta; Magnoliopsida; Brassicales; Brassicaceae.